This 1359-nucleotide ribosomal RNA is filed under the name uncultured bacterium. Its description in RNAcentral is "bacterial SSU rRNA". It matches the Rfam family "Bacterial small subunit ribosomal RNA", at positions 28 to 1381 of the family's 1533-position model. The record is from RNAcentral.
GAUGAACGCUAGCGGCAGGCUUAACACAUGCAAGUCGAGGGGCAGCAUGAGAGUUACUUGUAACUCUUGAUGGCGACCGGCGUAAGGGUGCGUAACACGUGAACAACUUGCCCAUAACAGAGGGAUAAGCAGUGGAAACGCUGACUAAUACCUCAUAACAAUGAGAGUCUCAUGACUUUUAUUUGAAAACUCAGGUGGUUAUGGAUAGGUUCGCGCCCCAUUAACUAGUCGGUGAGGUAACGGCUCACCGAGGCGACGAUGGGUAGGGGUUCUGAGAGGAAGGUCCCCCACACUGGAACUGAGACACGGUCCAGACUCCUACGGGAGGCAGCAGCGAGGAAUAUUGGUCAAUGGACGCAAGUCUGAACCAGCCAUGCCGCGUGCAGGAAUAAUGCCCUAUGGGUUGUAAACUGCUUUUGAUGCAGAGCAAUAAUAUCUACGAGUAGAUAGAUGAGAGUAUGUAUCGAAUAAGCACCGGCUAACUCCGUGCCAGCAGCCGCGGUAAUACGGAGGGUGCAAGCGUUAUCCGGAAUUAUUGGGUUUAAAGGGUGCGUAGGCUGUACGGUAAGUCAGAGGUGAAAUACCUGUGCCCAACAGAGGAAUUGCCUUUGAUACUGCCGUACUUGAGUGAUAGUGCCGUGGGAGGAAUGUGUAGUGUAGCGGUGAAAUGCAUAGAUAUUACACAGAACACCGAUUGCGAAGGCAUCUCACGAAUUAUCAACUGACGCUGAUGCACGAAAGCGUGGGUAUCGAACAGGAUUAGAUACCCUGGUAGUCCACGCAGUAAACGAUGAUAACUAACCGCUGGCGAUAUAUUGAUCAGUGGCCAAGCGAAAGCGAUAAGUUAUCCACCUGGGGAGUACGACCGCAAGGUUGAAACUCAAAGGAAUUGACGGGGGCCCGCACAAGCGGAGGAACAUGUGGUUUAAUUCGAUGAUACGCGAGGAACCUUACCCGGGCUCGAACGGCAGAUGAAUGUAUAAGAGAUUAUACAGUCUUCGGACAUCUGUCGAGGUGCUGCAUGGUUGUCGUCAGCUCGUGCCGUGAGGUGUCGGCUUAAGUGCCAUAACGAGCGCAACCCUUGUCUUUAGUUACCAGCAUGUAAUGAUGGGGACUCUAAAGAGACUGCCGCCGCAAGGUGAGAGGAAGGGGGGGAUGACGUCAAAUCAGCACGGCCCUUACGUCCGGGGCGACACACGUGUUACAAUGGAGGUUACAGAGGGAAGCUACUGGGUGACCAGAUGCAGAUCUUAUAAAAGCCUCCUCAGUACGGAUUGGAGUCUGCAACUCGACUCCAUGAAGCUGGAUUCGCUAGUAAUCGCGCAUCAGCCAUGGCGCGGUGAAUACGUUCCCGGGCCU